This 256-nucleotide non-coding RNA is filed under the name Desulforamulus aeronauticus. Its description in RNAcentral is "Desulfotomaculum aeronauticum T-box sequence". It matches the Rfam family "T-box leader". From Rfam's summary of the family: Uncharged tRNA acts as the effector for transcription antitermination of genes in the T-box leader family. T-boxes are found upstream of many aminoacyl-tRNA synthetase genes and some amino acid biosynthetic genes usually in Gram-positive bacteria. Lineage: Bacteria; Bacillati; Bacillota; Clostridia; Eubacteriales; Peptococcaceae. The record is from RNAcentral.
UUAACAGCGUUGAAAGGGAUUAGGAAUCUGAUACAGGGCUACAGAGAGCCGGGUAAGGUGGAAGCCGGCGCCAAUGGCAGGUUACCUUUAUCACCCUGGAGCUGCCUUUCUGAAAACCAUUGGGUAAGUAAGGGAGGCCGGGUUUUGGAACCCGUUACCUAAACCGCACAAUACAGGAAGUUGUAUUUGGUGCAGAAAAGUGGCUCCUUUGGAGCAAACAGGGUGGUACCGCGGAAGCUAACCUCUCGCCCCUGGC